GAUGAACGCUGGCGGCGUGCCUAAUACAUGCAAGUCGAGCGAACGGACGAGAAGCUUGCUUCUCUGAUGUUAGCGGCGGACGGGUGAGUAACACGUGGAUAACCUACCUAUAAGACUGGGAUAACUUCGGGAAACCGGAGCUAAUACCGGAUAAUAUUUUGAACCGCAUGGUUCAAAAGUGAAAGACGGUCUUGCUGUCACUUAUAGAUGGAUCCGCGCUGCAUUAGCUAGUUGGUAAGGUAACGGCUUACCAAGGCAACGAUGCAUAGCCGACCUGAGAGGGUGAUCGGCCACACUGGAACUGAGACACGGUCCAGACUCCUACGGGAGGCAGCAGUAGGGAAUCUUCCGCAAUGGGCGAAAGCCUGACGGAGCAACGCCGAGUGAGUGAUGAAGGUCUUCGGAUCGUAAAACUCUGUUAUUAGGGAAGAACAUAUGUGUAAGUAACUGUGCACAUCUUGACGGCACCUAAUCAGAAAGCCACGGCUAACUACGUG
This 497-nucleotide ribosomal RNA is filed under the name uncultured bacterium. Its description in RNAcentral is "partial 16S ribosomal RNA". It matches the Rfam family "Bacterial small subunit ribosomal RNA", at positions 28 to 507 of the family's 1533-position model. The record is from RNAcentral.